AGGACACCAGAACUGCACACAGUACUCCAGGUGGGGUCUCACCCAAGAGUAGAGCUGAGGGACAGAAUCACCUCCAUCAACCUGCUUGUCACCCUCCUU
Molecule: long non-coding RNA, 99 nt
Organism: Strigops habroptila (Kakapo)
Lineage: Eukaryota; Metazoa; Chordata; Aves; Psittaciformes; Psittacidae
Exons: 3
Source: RefSeq, a predicted model, not a curated record